GGCUGUGGAACAAAACUCUAAUUCCAACGUAAAUGCGGUUGAAGAAGCAAGUAAUUCUUUAAUGCAUUUCAAUCCCACUUUCGAAUUCCCAAUUGAAUCGAUGGUAGAUUUAAAUUCCAAAUUUCUUGAUUCCAACCGACACUCGGCUGUAACUUUUAAAGAAAAUUCUAGUCCAAAUGUUACAAAGAACUCUACUAAGGAAGGGUCAAUUGAUUUUAUUAAAUCUAGUUUGGUCUCUAAAGGGCAUACCCUGGAGGGAAAAUGUGGUAGUGGUUGUUUGGUAAGGCUUUGAAUAAAACUAUUCGUGGUCGAGGAGGCCGCUUCAGAUUAACUGCAGUUUUCGGGUCCCUCUACCUGGUGCCAUGUUUUUUAUGGCAAUGCUUAUUAGCUCCCAAGUUUAUCUUAAGGCGAAUAAAAUUGCUCGUUGUAUGGGUGGCCAUAAAGAUGGUGUUGGAUCUCCUUUUGCUACUUAGUGGUGGUAUCUGGAUUGAAUGGAGUGAUUCAAUUUAUGUUGAGGUUCUUAAAUGUCACCUUCAAUUCAUUUUAGCCAGAGUUUCAGAAAGCAUUCAUAGAAGAUCGCUGCUAGUAGCUUUUGUCCAUAGAAGCCCUGAUAGUGGUAAAUGGAGGCAUCUUUGGGGAGCUUUGGAAAGUGUCAUUCGGUGGACGGGACCCUGUGGCUUGCAAUUGGGGACUUUAAUGAUAUACUUUUUUCUAGUGAAAAGAGAGGGGUGUAUCUUAGGGAGAAUAUGUUCCUAUUUCGAUGAUUUUAUGGAUUCGAACGAGCUUCUUAAUUUGGGUUUUCGAGGGUUUUAGUUUACUUGGCAAAGGGGGGGUUUGAGAGAUUGGAUAGAGCCAUUUGUAAUGAAGUUUUGUGCUCUAUUUUUCCACAAUGCACGAUGAAUCAUCUACUGAGACUAAAUUCAGACCACAGAUCACUUUGCUUAUCUCUUAUGCCUGAUUACCACUCUUCUAUGAGCUGUCUGUUUAGAUUUUUAGCUGGUUGGGUUGAGCAUCCAACUUUCUUCGACUUUGUCAAACAAAAAUAGAGCAUCUUUAGAAGUAUGUCAAAGGUUCACUCAGUCUUCACUGAUCAGGUUAGACAUUGGAAUAAGGAAGUGUAUGGCCAUAUUUAUUCGCGCAAAAAACAGUUAAUUAGGAAGUUGAAUAAUAUCCAGAAAGCAUCGGAUGUUGCAAGGUCUGUCUAUCUUAAUCGGGUUGAAAUGGAGGUUAGGGAGGAGUUGGAAAAUGUGUUACAUCAUGAAGAACUCUUAUAGCGUCAAAAGGCAAGGUAUGAUUGGUUGUCUUUAGGAGAUCGUAAGACUAAUUUUUUUCAUUCAUGCACACUGUGACUAAGAAAAUAGAAUCAAAUCGCAAAGUUAAAAAUGACAUGGGUGAAUGGAUUUUUGAUGAGGAGAAGUUGAAACUUGAGGCGAUUGAUUUUUAUAAGAAGUUAUAUGGUGAGCAUCCGGGACAAAUGAGAGGACUUCCUCCGAAAGCCUUCUCAUGCCUUAACGAUGGUGAUAUGCAGUUUUGGAGUAAAUCGAUCUCCAAUGAGGAAAUUAAGGUUGCACUUUUUUAUAUGCCCUCUUUAAAGGCUCUUGGUAGUGAUGGAUUUCAUGAUUUUUUCUACCAAAGUCAGUGGGAACAUGAUGGGGCUUCGGUUUGUGAGUGGGUCAAAAGGGUCUUUUCUGGGAAGUGCAUUGAUCCAGACUUAAACAAUAUGCUCCUUGUGCUUAUUCCUUAAGUACCGAAUCCGAAAAGCUUCUCUUAGUUUUGCCCUAUCAGUCUUUGCUCAACCUUCUAUAAACUGGUCAUGAAAAUCAUGGCAAACCGGUUCAAAAUAGUCUUUCUGAAUAUCAUCGCUUCUGAGCAGGCUGGAUUUGUAAAAGGCAAAAAUAUAACAAAUAAUACCAUUAUCACGCAAGAGGUUAUCCAUUCAAUGAAAAGUAAAUAGAAGAAUAGAAUAUGGAUGUAUAUCAAAAUUGACCCCGAGAAAGCCGAUGAUCUUGUGAGCUGGGAGUUCAUUGAUGCGUCACUACAAGCCGUAAGUAUUCCUAUUUCUCUUUGUAAUGUCAUUAUGUCUACUAUUUCGAUUUCUACUAUGCUGAUUCUUUGGAAUGGGACUCCGACGUAAAAGUUCAGACCGACAAGAGAAGUUAGACAAGGUUGUUCGGUAUCUCCCUAUUUGUUUAUACUUUGUAUGGAAUGGUUAGGGAAUUGUAUUCGCUUAGCUAUCAAUUCUGGAGGUUGGUCCCUGAUCCGUCUAUCUCGUACAGGUCCACCAUUGCCUCAUCUCUUCUUUGCAGAUGAUUUGAUCCUCUUUAGCCAAGUGGGUGAACAUCAAGCGAGGGUCAUUAAAGGGGUCUUGGAUAACUUUUGUGAGUUCUUGGGACAUAAGAUUAAUAUGCAGAAGACUAAUAUCUUCUUUUCGAGUUGUGUUGACAGUGAUUUAGAAAUAUGUAUAAGCAACAUUUUUGGUUUUCAAAAAGUGCAAAACCUGGGUCUUUACUUAAAGGUGCCUCUUUUUUAUGACAAGGUAACAAAUAAUACAUUACAAUUUGUUGUGGAAAAGGUGCAUAAUAAACUUUCUAGUUGGAAUGCUAGGAAACUUUCUUUAGCAGGUAGAAUCACUUUGGCUUAAUCGAUUUUUUCUCUCAGUCCCAAGUUAUUUCAUGCAAUCAAUAAUGAUCCCUAAGGGAUUAUGUGAUGAGAUCAAGCUAAUGGACAGACGAUUCAUAUGGGGUUCCCAGAAUGGUCACAAAAAGAUGGCUUUAGUGAGUUGGGAUUCAAUAUGUCAACCUAGAUCACAUAGAGGUCUUAGGCUGAUGCACUUGAGGGAUCAUAAUACUUCCUUCAUGAUGAAGUUAGGCUUUAAUAUUGUAACAAACUCCAACGCUCUCUAGUUUCGAGUUUUAAGAUUGAAAUAUGGAGUCCAAAGUGAUUUGCUGGAGUCUGUUUCGAAAGGGUAUGGCUCUUUUUUUAUGGCGAGCCCUUAUUAAGGUAUGACCUCUUAUUCGUGAGAACUUACUAUGGUCUAUUGGUGAUGGAAAAGAUAUUAAUUGCUAGAGGGAUCAUUGGAUUCCAAAUCUCGGUCCCUUAUACAAACAGAUCCCUUCUGUUUCGAACAUAGAUAUGGAAUGUUCCUUUAGUGAUAUGGUAACAAGUGACGGCUCAUGGAAUCUAGAUUUAUUUUGCAUUUGGGUUACUAAGGAGUUUAUUGCUAAGAUUGUAAGAAUUCCAUCUACUCGUCUAACUGUUGGUCCGGAUAAGAUCAUUUGGUUGGCUACUUCUACUGGUUUUUUCUCCUUAAAAAGUGCAUAUAGUAAAAUUCGAGAGGGAGUUUGGAAUUCAAAAGAGUCUGUUUGGCAGCUCCCUUAGAAGUUUCAAGGACCCCAAAGAGUUAUAUUUUUCAUUUGGCUUGCUCUAAAGCAUUGGCUACUCAAGAAUGCAGAAAGGGUAAGGUGAGGAUUAGGCAAUGACAGUCUUUGUAAAAUUUGCUGACAUGGUUCUGAGAAGGUGUUGCAUGUCCUUCAUGAAUGGAUGACAAAAAACCUCCAAAAUAAACACUCAUUUUGUUCGAGUGGGGUUGAUUGGUGUUGUUCGAGUGGGGUUGAUUGGUCUUGUCUAUUCGGGAUAAUUUCUUGGCGCAUCUGGAAAAAUCGUAAUAUUUUUAUUUUCCAAAACAUAUCUUAGAGUACGGAUGAAAUUAUCAAGAUCUCUUAUAGCUGGGCAAGACAGUAUACUUCUACUUCUAAGUUGUUUUCUUUCAAGCCACAAAGUCUUCCCACUAGUUCACACUUGCCAACCAAUUGGGUAUGCCUUAAUACCAAUGGUUUGGUUAAGAUUGAGGAAGGUUCUGCAGUAGCAAAGGGUCUUGUGCGAGACUAUAAUAAAAAGUGGAUUUUGGGUUUUUGCAGAUACUUGGGUAUUUGCACCGUUUUGGAAGCUGAAUUUUGGGGCAUCUUGGAUGGGUUGAAUCUCUCACUAGAUUAGGGGUUUUAGAACAAUUUAAUUCAAACUGACAACCUUGAAUCCAGUCAUACCGUCCAAAAAGAUACUCUUGGAAAGCGCAAGUCAACUUUGAUUAGGAGAGUACAUUAGCUUUUUGGAAAAGUUUGACAUUGGAAUAUUCAAGAUGUUCCUCGAGAAGAAAAUACUUUCACAGAUGACCUGAUUAAGAUUGUUUGUGACAGGAAAACAAGACUUCGCUUAUUGGAAAAUCCCCCACCGGAGGGAUUAGUUUAAUUUCUUUUAGUAGGCUUAUUUUGUUUCACAAAAAAAGUAUGAUUUAUUUGUUUUACUAUUGUUUUUAUGAUAUCUUAUAACACUUUUUUGUAUUUAAAAGAAAGAUUUUUUGUUGUUUUGUUUUAUUA
Long non-coding RNA from Gossypium raimondii (Peruvian cotton), 4373 nucleotides. RefSeq lists it as uncharacterized. The record is from RefSeq and is a predicted model, not a curated record. Lineage: Eukaryota; Viridiplantae; Streptophyta; Magnoliopsida; Malvales; Malvaceae. The transcript is spliced from 2 exons.